This 2568-nucleotide long non-coding RNA is filed under the name Setaria viridis. RNAcentral describes it as "long non-coding RNA (SVIR_LNC008337)". The record is from RNAcentral. Lineage: Eukaryota; Viridiplantae; Streptophyta; Magnoliopsida; Poales; Poaceae.
CAAGCACAAGAGCCCAGAGCAGCAGAGCUAGUUUCUUCCGAGUCUCCAUUUCUCCCUGACGCGAGUUGCUUGGUGCUGGUGCGGUUGCUCCAGUCGUUCAGCCAUGGCUCUGGACGCGAGAUCCCUGCCAGCGGUGUCCGUCCCCGCCCUGGACGACGUCGGCGACGCGAGCCCGUGGUCCGGGAACGGCCGCGGCGGCGGUGGCGCUCCGUCGUCCGAGACGACGACGGCCGUGGACGUGGACGUGCCGGCGCUGUGGAGCGACGAGGGGAGGAUGAAGCGGGAGCUGGUGGCGUGGGCCAAGGCCGUGGCGUCCAUGGCCAUCAGGGAAUCGAUGCACUGCUAAAUUGCGCGCUAAGCAGUAAUCAAGCACGCAAUCAUUUGGGGGCAGCGAGCGAGGAAAUUAACUAGAUCCUUUUUUUUCCUUCUCUUAUCUGUGAGUCCUUUUCUUGGCGGAGCGGAUCAAUCUACGCGACGAAGAAUGGCCGCCCUCCGUGGUGGUGCUUCUUCCCGGCCAUGUUUGUUGUUCGAUCGAUUUGUCGAUCGGCCUGUACAUGAUUUUUUGGAAAGGAUGGAAGAGAAUUUGACCAGGAUGUAUAUUUUUCCAUGUCCUCGUUGCUCGUUCGAACUGUACGGGGGAAGUUGUGUUCUGGUGACUGAUCCCUUCCGACGAUCACCAACUCUCUGAGAAACACCGCAAACUGUGACGCCAAUCUGUAGAUCACACCGACAGUUCAAGCUUGUGUGCGGAGGCAGGCAGCACACUGGUCACUGGCAGCUCAUGGUCAUGGGUGGCCUCUCCAUGUCUCUGCAGUCCCAAAUAGUAGAUGUUUUGGACAUCGCCGUCGCCUCUGAAACAAAACAUUGACUAAUACAUUCUAGUAUAAAAUGUCUAAAAGACAUAUAAAUGAUUAUGUACAUAUUAGCGACUGGAGGGAACAUUAAAAGACAUUUAAAAUCCAAGGAGUGUUUUGUUUCCAAAUAGUCAAACUUUGCAUAUCUUGACUAUCAGCUAGUAAAACUAGAUAGGUACUCAUUCCGUCCCAAAAUGUAAGUAUUUGUAGUUCGUCUUAAAUCAAACCAUCUUUAAGCUUUUAAAAAAAAGAACAAUGAUAUUUAAGAUAUACAGUUAGUAUUAUUGGACCCAUUAUGAAUACAUGUUCGUAGCGUACUUGUUAGAUUUGUUAGAUGUUGUUUAGUUGGAUCCAUCAUGAAUACCCGAUUUCUUUCGAGGAAAUGACUGAUGGAAAUGCACUAAAAGCUUGAGAUCCCAAGAACAAGUAACCAAUGACUGACAAGGAAGGAGAAGAGGGAGAUGGGGGUAGGGGAAGAACAAACUGCGGAUGUCGACUCCAUAUGCCCCCCUGGUAUCUGUUCCACACCAGCACGAGUCAACAUCUAGCUUUUCCCCCCAAUUGUUUUCACGAGAGGAUAAAUUUGACUACAAAUUCGACGUCAAGCGAUUCACAGCCAUAUAAAAGUUCUAACCAGUGCGGCAGCGCCACCUUGCUAAACUAAAGAAGAUUGCCCCAGCUGGCAGCGUGAGCUGCGUGCCAACGACCUCACCAGACACCAGCAGUGACGCCAUUGGACCGGGACGCUUCGGUCGUCGAUGAACACAACUCUGCCUCCGCGCUCACCACACUGCGCGCUUGAUUAUUUCAGCGCGUUUUCGGCUCUUCGCCCAGCGACCUUCGCAAAAAAAAAAAAAGGAAAAAGAAAAGGAAAAAAGAAGAAGAGAGAGUUGACAAGCUAGGAAGGAACGCGAUGUCAGCGUCGCGGUUUUUGGUUGCGCGUACGUGCUUCCCUUCCAGUAUGAUAAUGUAGUGCUGGUAUAUAUAAGCACGUGGUGCUCGUGCGCCCUUGGUACAUACUCUACAUAUACAGCGUGCGUCGAGUGUCCUGGUUGCACACUUGCACCAACCAACCCAAGACAGCUUAUCGGCUGCAGCGCAGAGCCUCUUCCCUCAAGUGUGCUAGAGCGCUUCCUGCCCUUCUCCUUCUCCGUUUUCUGAAGCUACGUUCACGUCAGUUCUAAUACGGCCAUGGCUCUGGACGUCGGUUCCCUGCUAUCGGCGGUGCCCGUCCCCGCCCUCGACGCCGGUGACUGCAGCACGCCGAGGCCGUGGUCCGCGGGUAACGGCGGCGGCGAGGCGGUGUCCGGGGCUGUGCCGGUGCUGUUCGGCGACGACGAGGCGUUGAAGCGGGACCUGGUGGCGUGGGCCAAGGCCGUGGCGUCCAUGGCCAGGGAAUCAGCGCAGCAGUUCCGGUGCUAAUUGAGGAUUCAUCAGGCUUUACUGUUUCGUGUAGCGAGGAAGUACACUGCUCCUUUUUUCUGAGUCCUUUCUUGAUGGAGCCGUGGUGGUUCUCAACCAGGCAACCAAACCAUGACCAUUGAUCAUUCGGCUUGUAGCCUUUGUACAUGUUCUCCGCAAGGAUGUUUCAGAGUUUUUUCACCCAUACACGGUACACCCAUGUCCUCUGGAACUGUCUUGUCCUACAAAGCCACAAUGUUUUGGUUUUCGCUAUCCCCCAAUUUGGCGGCUGGGUUUGGCUGUCUGCGGUCUG